RNAcentral lists this ribosomal RNA (497 nucleotides) under uncultured bacterium. RNAcentral describes it as "partial 16S ribosomal RNA". It matches the Rfam family "Bacterial small subunit ribosomal RNA", at positions 28 to 507 of the family's 1533-position model. The record is from RNAcentral.
GAUGAACGCUGGCGGCGUGCCUAAUACAUGCAAGUCGAGCGAACGGACGAGAAGCUUGCUUCUCUGAUGUUAGCGGCGGUCGGUUUAGUAACACGUUGAUAACCUACCUAUCAGACUGGGAUUCCUUCGGGAAACCGGAGCUAAUACCGGAUAAUAUUUUGCACCUCAUGGUUCAAAAGUUAAAGACGGUCUUUCUUUCACUUAUAGAUGGAUCCGCGCUGCAUUAGCUAGUUGGUAAGUUAACGGCUUACCAAGGCAACGAUGCAUAGCCGACCUGAGAGCGUGAUAGGCCACACGGGAACUGAGACACGGGCCAGACGCCGACGGGAGGCAGCAGUAGGGAAUCUUCCGCAAGGGGCGAAAGAGUGACGGAGCAACGCAGCGGGAGGGAUGAAGGUCUUAGGAUCGGAAAACGCUGUAAUUAGGGAAGAACAUAUGUGUAAGUAACUGUGAACAUCUUGACGGUACCUAAUCAGAAAGCCACGGCUAACUACGUG